UACUCGAGUGGCGAACGGGUGAGUAACACGUGGGUGAUCUGCCCUGCACUUCGGGAUAAGCCUGGGAAACUGGGUCUAAUACCGGAUAGGAGCCAUCUUUAGUGUGAUGGUUGGAAAGUUUUUUCGGUGUAGGAUGAGCUCGCGGCCUAUCAGCUUGUUGGUGGGGUAAUGGCCUACCAAGGCGGCGACGGGUAGCCGGCCUGAGAGGGUGGACGGCCACAUUGGGACUGAGAUACGGCCCAG
RNAcentral lists this ribosomal RNA (243 nucleotides) under uncultured Actinomycetales bacterium. Its description in RNAcentral is "partial 16S ribosomal RNA". It matches the Rfam family "Bacterial small subunit ribosomal RNA", at positions 88 to 334 of the family's 1533-position model. The record is from RNAcentral. Lineage: Bacteria; Bacillati; Actinomycetota; Actinomycetes; Actinomycetales.